CACGUAGGCACCAAGCGUUGUCCGGAUUUAUUGGGCGUAAAGAGCUCGUAGGCGGUUCGGUAAGUCGGGUGUGAAAACUUUGGGCUUAACCCAAAGCCUGCAUCCGAUACUGCUGUGACUAGAGUUCGGUAGGGGAGUGGGGAAUUCCUAGUGUAGCGGUGAAAUGCGCAGAUAUUAGGAGGAACACCGGUGGCGAAGGCGCCACUCUGGGCCGAAACUGACGCUGAGGAGCGAAAGCGUGGGUAGCAAACAGG
This 254-nucleotide ribosomal RNA is filed under the name uncultured bacterium. Its description in RNAcentral is "partial 16S ribosomal RNA". It matches the Rfam family "Bacterial small subunit ribosomal RNA", at positions 524 to 776 of the family's 1533-position model. The record is from RNAcentral.